Echinops telfairi (small Madagascar hedgehog) is the source of this 140-nucleotide small nucleolar RNA. NCBI's taxonomy places the organism in Eukaryota, Metazoa, Chordata, Mammalia, Afrosoricida, Tenrecidae. The record is from Ensembl.
GCAUGGGUUUGGAUUUACUGCAGGCCCAGCCCAUGGGUGUCACACAGUGAGUGUCUCAUGUCGGAGCAAACCGUAGCCCCCAAGCCAUUGCCUUGCCUCCUAGCCCAUAGGCUUGUGGCACUGAAGCGGGUUGCACAGUG